GUCCUUACCUGGCGGGGAGACACCAUGAUCAGGCAGAUUGUUUUCUCAGGGUGAGCGUCAUCNCCUGCACUCCAGAUGUGCUGACCCCUGUGAUUUCCCCAAAUGUGGGAAACUUGUCUGCAUAGUUUGUGGUACUGGGGACUGCAUUUGUGCUUUCCCCUG
Small nuclear RNA from Amazona aestiva (blue-fronted amazon), 162 nucleotides. It matches the Rfam family "U1 spliceosomal RNA". From Rfam's summary of the family: U1 is a small nuclear RNA (snRNA) component of the spliceosome (involved in pre-mRNA splicing). NCBI's taxonomy places the organism in Eukaryota, Metazoa, Chordata, Aves, Psittaciformes, Psittacidae. The record is from Rfam.